CGCCGAAGCGAAACGCGAGCACGUGCAGAGCACAACUCCACCGAAGCGGCCCACCAGCCUCCAGCUCCCUCCACUUCGCCUCUCCUCCUGAUUCGCACCGCUUCCCUUUUCGCCGUAAAACACCCCGACGUCACCCUCCAAACCCUAACCCUAGAAGAAGACAUCCAUCUCUCCACCCCCGGCGCGCGCCCGGCUGCUCGGGGCAGCGGCGAUGGGGAGGCGGAAGGAGCGCCGCCUGGCGGCCAAGGCGGCCUCGGGCCGCAGGGUCAAGCUCGACCUCUUCCUCGAUCCUCCCCCCGGGGAGGCAUCUAUGAAAGAGGGAGUAGGAGAGGAAAACCGUGGGCAGCAAACUGGUGUUCCCACUUCACCAUCUUCGUCAGGUGGGUUCAAUCAAUUUCCUUCCAAGGGAUAUGUAAAGACGGCACAUGCCUAUGGAACGUAAAUUUGGUGGAAAUUUGGAAUUUUCUUCAAGCAUGUGUAUGCUCCAAAUUUCUGGUUUGAGGCACAUGUAGGGUUCCCGGCCUGCAAGGAACAUUAAGUAAAUUCUUCAGAUCAGGCUGCCACUGUCAAAACUGGGUGUGUUCCUUCCGGUAAUUUCUCUUUUGGCAGCAUCUGAGCGUGGGGAUUUCAGGAUGAUUGUUGCCUCCUCGGUUCGUAUGUCUCUUUCUUUAUACUGUAGCUCCUAACCUGGUUUUUUAAUUAUUGCUGGGCCGCCAUGGUGCAUUUUAAAGUAAUUUUAACGAACUUGUUCUACUUUUAUACCUGAGUCGAUCCUCACAUAUACUUCAGAAAAUAGUGCAAUAUAGAUUGUGUCACAUGAAAGCUUUUGCGUUUUUAAUGAUGAAUUUAUCUUUUCAGAUAAGAAGGAAAAUCCUCUAGCUUUGCUUGGGCAAUAUAGUGAUGAUGAAGAAGAGGAUGAAGUAGCAACAGAUCAACCCAUUGGUGAAACUAAGGGGAGUCCAACAGAUGCAAGUGCUGAGGUUAUUCAUGAUCAGGCUGAUGUAACUGGGGAUAAUGGCGAUGCAGAUAGUGAACUGCCUGCUUCUGUUAGUGUUCAGCAGGAGGUAUCUCAAGCUGAUGAUGUAAAAAAUGUCACAGAAAAUGUUGCUGAGGAAUUUACUGUUGCCCCUGAGCCAACUCUGGAAAAUGAGGGUGUGACAGCAACGGAAGCUGUCCCAGAUUCAUCUGGCAUGCAAAUUGUUGGUGACAUUGGUGGGAAUUGGAAGGCUAUAAUGCAUGAACAGAGUAAUCAGUGCUACUACUGGAACACAGUUACUGGAGAAACUUCUUGGGAGAUUCCUAAUGGAUUAGCUUCAGUAGUUGCUGCUGAUGGGGUCACUUCUGCAUCUGUGCCUACUCAUAUGGGGUACUCUGUCGAAGCUCAAGCACAUGUCCUUCCCCACAGUAAUGUCGAAGCAUAUCCUAGUGACGUGUCUGUUGGAAAUGGCACAGCAACCUAUACUGCUAUGGGAACUUAUACUCAUGAUCCUUAUGCUUACACUGGAGCCAUUGCUAGUCAUGAGACAGUGGACAUUGACCCCUUGCAGCUUGCAAAAUAUGGUGAGGAUUUACUGCAAAGACUGAAGCUGCUGGAAAGGCCACAUGUUGCCAUUGACAGUCUUGAGUUGAUAAAAAGAGAAAUUGAGAUACGAAUAGCAGACUGUAGUGCCCUCUCCUCGUAUGGAUCUUCUUUACUUCCGUUGUGGUUGCAUGCUGAGGUGCACCUUAAGCAACUAGAACUUUCAGUUUCCAAGUUUGAAGCUAGCUACACUACCAAACAUGGAUAUCUGGAGACAGUGGAUGCAGGACACAAAGCACCUAAUCAAGCUGAAGUUAUGGCACCCUCUGAGGGUGAGCAUUUGAAGGUUGAUGUUAGCACUCUGGGAAUAGGUACUGGCGAUGAAAAUAUUAAGGUUGAGGAACCAUGUACAACAUCAUCUGUUCAGAACUCACAAGGUGUGGCAGCAGCUAUUUUAAGAGUUGAAUCAGACAGUGAUGAAGAUAUGGACGUGGAAAUGGAGGUCGAUGAAGAAGGUGUUGAAGAGCAGGGCGGUUCCACUUCUAUGCCAAAUAAGGAGCAUCCUUCAUCAGAGCAAGUACGAUCACCAGCUUUGUCAUCAUUGGAGGAUUCUGCUCCUCCCCCACAGGAUAAUGACAUUCCUCCACCACCACCACCACCAGAAGAGGAAUGGAUUCCACCUCCACCACCUGAGAAUGAACCAGCUCCUCCACCUCCUCCUGAGCCUGAAGAGCCCGCUGUGUCAUUUGUUCAUGCUGAUACACUUCCUCAGCCAUACGGAGAUCAAGCAAACUUGGGUUACAUGCUUCCAGUAAUGGAGUACUAUCCUGCUGCUGGUACAGAUAGCACAAAUGCCAACUACUAUAUGCAAGCAAGCGAUUCUCAAAUUCUUCAAUCACAGCAGCAUUCUUACUAUGCACCAUUGUCUGCAAGUGGUGUAUCUAUUCCUGUUGAGACCACAUCCAUCCCCACAGUACCAGGUUCUUAUUAUAGCUAUCCUUCUGUCACCAUGUCUGCAACUGAAGUAGCAGCUGAAUCUUCUGGAUACUAUGCUUCAUCAACCUGUGCCAUUUCUAGUGGUGAAUUAGAUAACAAAACAAGCUCGGCCUCCCUUGUUGCAAAUAGUAAUGUGAAUUCUGUGGAGUCUGAUAAAGUGAUAUCCAAGGAGCCCACAGUUGCGUCUUUGAGCCAAUCAGUAGGAGCAGUCUCAGCUUCAGGACCAACAGUACAUGGAAGUUCUACUCAAGCUUCUACUAGCACCACUAAUCAGACUAAAGUUCCUCGUACUAAGAAGCGACCUGUUGCUGUUGCAUCGUCACUGAGAUCUAAUAAGAAGGUCUCAAGUCUGGUGGAUAAGGUAUCUCUCCGACCUCCAAAUGCUGCUGUUAAAAUAGUGACCAUUUAUGCUCUCUCUCCUACCCUACCACCCACUGCCCCCAAGUGUGGUGUCCUGACAUUAAUGAAGAAAUUUAACACUCUGCAUGAUUUGCAUUACUGCUAAUUGUGUGUACUUACUCGUUGAGACAUACUCUUGGUUAUCUCAUUAACAAGCGAGCACACUGUUCUUGGCCAGUUAUUUCGUUGUGCACAAUAUAGGUCGCCCAGAAAAAAACAACUCAUGCAAGUGGGAGUGUGACAGUGUUUCCUGACUAUUUUGUCUCAUGUUUAUCAUUUCUUAUUUUAAAGGCAGAGCAAUCUGUUUACAUGGUAAUUGGUAAGGCUUAAGACAAGGUGAGUGUUGAUGUAUAAUGAUUGUUUCCUUAUUAAUCUACCUUUGCUAAAACCAUUUUUUAUUUCACUAUUACAGUGGAAAGCUGCAAAAGAGGAGCUUCGUGAUGAAGAGGAAGAGGAGCCUGAAGAUGCUUUGGAGUACCUAGAAAGGAAACGCCGGAAGGAAAUAGAUGGGUGGCGUAAACAACAAAUAGCUAGUGGAGAAGCCAAGGAAAAUGCUAAUUUUGUUCCCCUUGGUGGUGAUUGGCGUGACCGUGUAAAACGCAAAAGAGCUGAAGCAAAGAAGGAAGCAAAGACUGAAUCUAUUCGUGCAGCUGCCGAACAACACAAAGGGGAGCCUGAUCUCUCAGAGCUCUCCAAGGGUCUUCCUUCUGGGUGGCAGGCAUACAUAGACGAGUCUACGAAGCAAGUGUACUAUGGGAACAACCUCACUUCCGAGACGACUUGGGAUCGGCCUAGCAAAUAAAGAUUGGAUUAGUUGAAGAUGGUCUAGUUUUGCUCUGUAGAUAUCCCCGUACCUCCGAUCGAUACGUUGCCUGUCACGUCCUGAGAAGCAACCGGUUUCUGAUGUUACCUUGGUUUUGAGGCUGUAUUGUUUCUUUUAUUUUCCACUGGGAGAUCAUAGUGGGGAGGAGAGUUCAUUUUGGUAUAGAGGCACCCUUGUAAGAGUGGCAACUUGAGAUCGAAUUACUGAAGCAAAAUCUACUAGUUAGUUGCUGACCAAGGAAAAAUGUACCUUGUUAAGUGGUGCUAGUCUUUACCUGGAUCUGAUAUCGUUUGCUUUCAAAACAACGUCAAUUAUAUUCAAUUUUAGGUUGUGCUAAAUACUAAAGAGACUUCUCCAAUUAUUUACUCCCUCCGUUCCUAAAUAUAAGUCUUUAUAGAGAUUCCACUAGGUGGACUAUAUAGGGAGCAAAAUGAAUGAAUCUACACUUAAAAUGCA
RNAcentral lists this ribosomal RNA (4193 nucleotides) under Triticum aestivum (bread wheat). RNAcentral describes it as "partial small subunit ribosomal RNA". Lineage: Eukaryota; Viridiplantae; Streptophyta; Magnoliopsida; Poales; Poaceae. The record is from RNAcentral.